AAAUUAAAUCACAUAUAUGACGAGCGAUACAGUGCUGUAGAUGAUACUAU
This 50-nucleotide non-coding RNA is filed under the name Trypanosoma brucei brucei. The record is from RNAcentral. Lineage: Eukaryota; Euglenozoa; Kinetoplastea; Trypanosomatida; Trypanosomatidae.